GGAGCGUUGCCAGAGUGGUCUAAUGGGCCUGCUUGGAAAGCAGUGAGUUGGUGAAAGCCGGCACGGGGGUUCAAAUCUCUCACGCUCCGCCA
Molecule: transfer RNA, 92 nt
Filed under: Acidithiobacillus ferrivorans
Lineage: Bacteria; Pseudomonadati; Pseudomonadota; Acidithiobacillia; Acidithiobacillales; Acidithiobacillaceae
Description: tRNA-Ser
Rfam family: tRNA
About the family: Transfer RNA (tRNA) molecules are approximately 80 nucleotides in length. Their secondary structure includes four short double-helical elements and three loops (D, anti-codon, and T loops). Further hydrogen bonds mediate the characteristic L-shaped molecular structure. tRNAs have two regions of fundamental functional importance: the anti-codon, which is responsible for specific mRNA codon recognition, and the 3' end, to which the tRNAs corresponding amino acid is attached (by aminoacyl-tRNA synthetases). tRNAs cope with the degeneracy of the genetic code in two manners: having more than one tRNA (with a specific anti-codon) for a particular amino acid; and 'wobble' base-pairing, i.e. permitting non-standard base-pairing at the 3rd anti-codon position.
Source: RNAcentral